This 231-nucleotide ribosomal RNA is filed under the name uncultured bacterium. RNAcentral's name for it is "partial 16S ribosomal RNA". It matches the Rfam family "Bacterial small subunit ribosomal RNA", at positions 118 to 347 of the family's 1533-position model. The record is from RNAcentral.
UGAGUAACCUGCCCUUCACUCUGGGAUAACUCCGGGAAACCGGGGCUAAUACUGGAUAUGACUCGAACAGGCAUCUGUUUCGGGUGGAAAGAUUUAUUGGUGGAGGAUGGACUCGCGGCCUAUCAGCUUGUUGGUGAGGUAAUGGCUCACCAAGGCGACGACGGGUAGCCGGCCUGAGAGGGCGAUCGGCCACACUGGGACUGAGACACGGCCCAGGCUCCUACGGGAGCA